Molecule: ribosomal RNA, 209 nt
Filed under: uncultured bacterium
Lineage: Bacteria
Description: partial small subunit ribosomal RNA
Rfam family: Bacterial small subunit ribosomal RNA
Source: RNAcentral
AGAACGAACGCUGGCGGCGGGGUUUAGGCAUGCAAGUCGAGCGAGAAAAGCGCAAGCUGAGUACAGCGGCGUAAGGGUGAGUAAUGGGUAGUCAACGUACCGGGCAGACGCGAAUAAUUUCCCGAAAGGGAUUGUAAUGCGCGAUGAGAUCACGGGCUCCACGGGGGCUUGGGAUCGAAAGGUCGGGGAUCCGUUCGGGACCUGGCGCU